RNAcentral lists this long non-coding RNA (301 nucleotides) under Ananas comosus (pineapple). Its description in RNAcentral is "long non-coding RNA (ACOM_LNC026110)". The record is from RNAcentral. Lineage: Eukaryota; Viridiplantae; Streptophyta; Magnoliopsida; Poales; Bromeliaceae.
UUUGUUUCUGAGGAAAGGUCUAUGGAAGUUCAAAAUUUUUCUUUGAGAAAGGAGACGAUUGAAAUUUUUUUAUUCUGGGGAGAUUAGAAUUUUUCAAAGUGUUUUAACUGGAAUUCAUCUUGAAUUAACUUCAUAUUAAUUAUCGGUUUUACUCCACUGUUUAUUAUUUUGACGAUAAUUUAAUAUAUGAUUUCUUAAUACAUAUAUUCAUAAAAAUUUUGAAAUCAAAUUUGAUCUCUUGAUGAUUAAUCUAUCUCGGUUGUGAGUGUUGAAUAUGAUGGAUGGAUAUUCACUAAUCGAC